UGUUGUACGUCUUCCUGGUCAUUGAAAUUGAAGUCGCAGCUUGUCUGUGUUGCAUGGUGGCAAUCGACUAAAUGUGUAAGGAUCGUUUGUGCAGUCAUACAUCAAAUAUUGGAACGUUGUUGAGUGCUGAACAUAUGAUGCAUCAUUUAGGAGUAUUUUGGCUGGAUGGUUGCCCGAGUGUCAUAAACCAAAAUAACGGAUGUGGGCUAAGGGAGAACUGAGAUUUCUUUUGACCUGACGGUGGCUGCGGGGUUGCCUUCACUGGUGGAUAGCAGUGGUGUGGUGGUUUGGUCACUUUAUUUUUUCUUCCCUUUAGGCUUGCAGUGUGAUUGCCGUGAGCUUGAUUGCAGUGGGAGCACGGUUGCCAUUUCUGUUUUUUUCACAAUCUAGGUAACCUGUGGCCAUCUGUAGGUCUUGUUUCUUUAUUUUUGAUUGUUUUUGUUUACAUUUUUUCUUUGUGGGUAAUUGCAUUGAAGGUCUGCUAUAUCUGUUUAACAUGUUAAUGUUUGUUUUCUUUGUAACUAUAUUUUCUUUUGAAUAAAAUGUUUGUUUAUUGAAACUUCACUACUGCCUUCUGCCUGCUCAUUUCCCUC
Long non-coding RNA from Carassius auratus (goldfish), 593 nucleotides. RefSeq lists it as uncharacterized. The transcript has 3 exons. Lineage: Eukaryota; Metazoa; Chordata; Actinopteri; Cypriniformes; Cyprinidae. The record is from RefSeq and is a predicted model, not a curated record.